UCCAGGGCCAGGCUAGUCCGCCCUGGGUGAGUCGGGACCUAAGGCGAGGCCGACAGGCGUAGUCGAUGGAUGACGGGUUGAUAUUCCCGUACCGGCGAAGCACCGCCCAUGCUGACGCGCGGGUGCUAACCCACGCCCAGCCACCAUGUAGGCCGCAUGUGUCAGGUUCGCCUGACGGUGUGGUUGUGGUGGUGGGGUCUGGGGAUCCUCCGUGCAGGUAGGCAAGCGUGUUAACAGGGGUGACGCACAGUGGUAGCCCGGCGGACCUGAUGGCUUGGUCCGUUCAAGCGCGCAGCCCGUCCUCCAGGUAAAUCCGGGGUGACUGUCUUUGAUGACGGGGGUGAGGCGUGAUGGUGACCCCACUCUGGUGGGGGAUAGCAGGGUGAUCCUGGGGUGCCGAGAAAAGCCUCGACGCGAUGGUGCCAGCCGCCCGUACCCUAAACCGACACAGGUGGUCGGGCAGAGUAUGCCUAGGCGCACGAGUGAAUCAUGGUUAAGGAACUCGGCAAAAUGCCCCCGUAACUUCGGGAGAAGGGGGGCCCGAUCCCUUGAAGCCCCGUGGCGGGCUAGGGGGGUGGGUCGCAGAGACCAGGGGGAAGCGACUGUUUACUAAAAACACAGGUCCGUGCGAAGCCGUAAGGCGAUGUAUACGGACUGACGCCUGCCCGGUGCUGGAAGGUUAAGAGGAACCAUCAACCCUCGGGUGAAGUGGUGAAUUUAAGCCCCAGUAAACGGCGGUGGUAACUAUAACCAUCCUAAGGUAGCGAAAUUCCUUGUCGGGUAAGUUCCGACCUGCACGAAUGGCGUAACGACUUCCCCGCUGUCUCAACCAUGAGCUCGGCGAAAUUGCAGUACGAGUAAAGAUGCUCGUUUCGCGCAGAAGGACGGAAAGACCCCGGGACCUUUACUACAGCUUGGUAUUGGCGCCCGCUAUAGCUUGUGCAGGAUAGGUGGGAGACUGUGAAGCCGUUACGCCAGUAGCGGUGGAGUCGUCCUUGAAAUACCACUCUGGUUAUGGCGUGCGCCUGAACCUGGGCCCGUGAUCCGGGUUAGGGACAGUGCCUGGUGGGUAGUUUAACUGGGGCGGUUGCCUCCUAAAGUGUAACGGAGGCGCUCAAAGGUUCCCUCAGCCUGGUCGGCAACCAGGUGUUGAGUGCAAGUGCACAAGGGAGCUUGACUGUGAGACCGACGGGUCGAGCAGGUACGAAAGUAGGAACUAGUGAUCCGGCGAUCCCGUGUGGGUGGGUCGUCGCUCAACGGAUAAAAGGUACCCCGGGGAUAACAGGCUGAUCCUGCC
RNAcentral lists this ribosomal RNA (1297 nucleotides) under human oral metagenome. RNAcentral's name for it is "bacterial LSU rRNA". It matches the Rfam family "Bacterial large subunit ribosomal RNA", at positions 1353 to 2492 of the family's 2925-position model. The record is from RNAcentral.